Molecule: ribosomal RNA, 459 nt
Filed under: uncultured bacterium
Lineage: Bacteria
Description: partial 16S ribosomal RNA
Rfam family: Bacterial small subunit ribosomal RNA
Source: RNAcentral
CCUACGGGAGACUGCAGUGAGGAAUAUUGGUCAAUGGGCGGGAGCCUGAACCAGCCAAGCCGCGUGAGGGAAGAAGGUACAGCGUAUCGUAAACCUCUUUUGUCAGGGAACAAAGGCGGGGACUAGUCCCCGGAUGCGGGUACCUGAAGAAAAAGCAUCGGCUAACUCCGUGCCAGCAGCCGCGGUAAUACGGAGGAUGCGAGCGUUAUCCGGAUUUAUUGGGUUUAAAGGGUGCGCAGGCGGCCUGUUAAGUCAGCGGUAAAAGCCCGGGGCUCAACCCCGGCGAGCCGUUGAAACUGGCGGGCUGGAGUUGGAGAGAAGUACGCGGAAUGCGCGGUGUAGCGGUGAAAUGCUUAGAUAUCGCGCAGAACCCCGAUUGCGAAGGCAGCGUACCGGCUCCACACUGACGCUGAGGCACGAAAGCGUGGGUAUCGAACAGGAUUAGAUACCCCUGUAGUC